RNAcentral lists this small RNA (927 nucleotides) under Arabidopsis thaliana (thale cress). RNAcentral's name for it is "ATSL091010". The record is from RNAcentral. Lineage: Eukaryota; Viridiplantae; Streptophyta; Magnoliopsida; Brassicales; Brassicaceae.
ACUAACAUGUCGAUGCAGCUAUAGGGGGUGUCAAUCCAGUCCACUGUUAUUGCUAGCAAUCAAGACGUGUACAGAAGCAACUAAGUCAAGCCAGAUUAUAAUGAUAGUGGGUUUCUAGUAACAAUCCUAGGUCAGGAUUCAAACAAGUAAAAAUGAGAACUUAAGAGCCCUACUCGAUCAUUGGGUUGAGUAGAACCAACAGGCAGAACUAAAAUGCAAUCAACACGGGAUACAAAUAACAGGUAGAUAAAAGUGCAAUCAACAGGGGAUACAAAUAAAUCUAAUAGAAGUCCUAAGGAUGGAUUCAUUGAUAAGGGCAACUCUAGGAUUCAUCAGAUGGCUAAUAGGCGAAAGGUAGAUACCAUUGACGAUAGAUUCAAAAACCGGGUCAAUCCACUAUCGUGACAGAGACCCCCAUAACUCUACCACUUCCUAAUCUCAACUGUCGUUGAUGAAACAUAGCAGAGUAGAGUUUAAGAAACAAUCUACCAAAGCCAAUAAGCAGACAAGCCAAUGUCUUGGUCGAGUAUACAUAUCUUUGGAAUUCGUAGAUCAGACAUCCAUUUGAAUGUCUUUUGGACGUUGGACGUCUAUGAUCGAAUCUCCACAUUAGCCAGCGAAAACUGCAUAGGGGCCAAGCGAAUCCAGAAGGGUUCUAACCUAAUCUCUAACCACCUAACUAACCUAGAGAUUACCCUAAUCUAAUCCAUCCUCAAGAACCCUAAUCACUACUCAAGCAACAUUCUCAAGAACACAAACCCAGAAAUUACUAAAAUCAUACCAAAAUGUAGAUCUAAACAAGCUAAACAACUCUACUCAAAGAAAUAAAUGCAGAAACGAAAUAAAUUAAGAGUAAUUAAGGUUUUAAGAUUCAUAAACACAAAGAAAAACUAAAGGAUAAAAGAUGGAUCCUUUGGACAAACCCCU